CACAGUGGUCUAGCGGUUAGAACGCUGGCCUUGUAAUCCUGGGGUCUCGGGUUCGAUUCCCGGCGGUG
Non-coding RNA from Zootermopsis nevadensis, 68 nucleotides. NCBI's taxonomy places the organism in Eukaryota, Metazoa, Arthropoda, Insecta, Blattodea, Termopsidae. The record is from Rfam.